AGGGCAAACCAUUCGAAAGAGUGGGACGCAAAGCCUCCGGCCUAAACCAGAAGACAUGGUAGGUAGCGGGGUUACCGAU
Molecule: non-coding RNA, 79 nt
Filed under: Vibrio cholerae
Lineage: Bacteria; Pseudomonadati; Pseudomonadota; Gammaproteobacteria; Vibrionales; Vibrionaceae
Description: c-di-GMP sequence
Rfam family: c-di-GMP-I riboswitch aptamer
About the family: GEMM was predicted in a large-scale screen for bacterial structured RNA regulatory elements. Genes associated with GEMM are involved in a diverse array of functions, including chemotaxis regulation, signal transduction, secretion and chitin.
Source: RNAcentral